This 275-nucleotide ribosomal RNA is filed under the name uncultured bacterium. RNAcentral's name for it is "partial 16S ribosomal RNA". It matches the Rfam family "Bacterial small subunit ribosomal RNA", at positions 338 to 605 of the family's 1533-position model. The record is from RNAcentral.
CCUACGGGGGGCUGCAGUGGGGAAUUUUGCGCAAUGGACGAAAGUCUGACGCAGCAACGCCGCGUGGGUGACGAAGGUCUUCGGAUCGUAAAACCCUGUCGUCAGGGACGAAGGUAGGGAGUUUAAUACGCUCUUUGCUUGACGGUACCUGGAGAGGAAGCCCCGGCUAACUCUGUGCCAGCAGCCGCGGUAAUACAGAGGGGGCAAGCGUUAUUCGGAAUUAUUGGGCGUAAAGGGCGCGUAGGCGGUUCUGUAAGUAGGAUGUGCAAUCCCCG